UACCGGGUGGUAUUGGCCGGCUUGAUGCGCGGCCCAAGGUGACCGCGCGCGAUCUGAAUUUCUAUUAUGGCGAGCACCACGCCCUGAAGAGCAUCAAUCUUGUUCUCGGCGAGAACCGCGUGACCGCCUUCAUCGGUCCGUCGGGCUGUGGCAAGUCGACAUUGCUGCGCAUCUUCAAUCGCAUGUACGACCUUUAUCCCGGUCAGCGAGCGGUCGGCCAGUUGAUGCUGGACUCGACCAAUAUUCUCGAUCCGAAACUGGACCUGAAUUUGCUGCGCGCCAGGAUCGGUAUG
RNAcentral lists this unclassified non-coding RNA (293 nucleotides) under Hevea brasiliensis (rubber tree). The record is from RNAcentral. Lineage: Eukaryota; Viridiplantae; Streptophyta; Magnoliopsida; Malpighiales; Euphorbiaceae.